AACGAACGCUGGCGGCAGGCCUAACACAUGCAAGUCGAGCGCCCUUUCGGGGGCGCGGCGGACGGGUGAGUAACGCGUGGGAAUAUGCCCUUCUCUACGGAAUAGCCUCGGGAAACUGAGAGUAAUACCGUAUACGCCCUGUGGGGGAAAGAUUUAUCGGGGAAGGAUUAGCCCGCGUUGGAUUAGGUAGUUGGUGGGGUAAUGGCCUACCAAGCCGACGAUCCAUAGCUGGUUUGAGAGGAUGAUCAGCCACACUGGGACUGAGACACGGCCCAGACUCCUACGGGAGGCAGCAGUGGGGAAUCUUAGACAAUGGGGGCAACCCUGAUCUAGCCAUGCCGCGUGAGUGAUGAAGGCCUUAGGGUUGUAAAGCUCUUUCAGCUGGAAGAUAAUGACGGUACCAGCAGAAGAAGCCCCGGCUAACUCCGUG
This 430-nucleotide ribosomal RNA is filed under the name uncultured bacterium. RNAcentral describes it as "partial 16S ribosomal RNA". It matches the Rfam family "Bacterial small subunit ribosomal RNA", at positions 29 to 507 of the family's 1533-position model. The record is from RNAcentral.